This 882-nucleotide ribosomal RNA is filed under the name Salmonella enterica. Its description in RNAcentral is "partial 23S ribosomal RNA". It matches the Rfam family "Bacterial large subunit ribosomal RNA", at positions 2061 to 2925 of the family's 2925-position model. The record is from RNAcentral. Lineage: Bacteria; Pseudomonadati; Pseudomonadota; Gammaproteobacteria; Enterobacterales; Enterobacteriaceae.
GCAGUGUACCCGCGGCAAGACGGAAAGACCCCGUGAACCUUUACUAUAGCUUGACACUGAACAUUGAGCCUUGAUGUGUAGGAUAGGUGGGAGGCUUUGAAGUGUGGACGCCAGUCUGCAUGGAGCCGACCUUGAAAUACCACCCUUUAAUGUUUGAUGUUCUAACGUGGACCCGUAAUCCGGGUUGCGGACAGUGUCUGGUGGGUAGUUUGACUGGGGCGGUCUCCUCCUAAAGAGUAACGGAGGAGCACGAAGGUUGGCUAAUCCUGGUCGGACAUCAGGAGGUUAGUGCAAUGGCAUAAGCCAGCUUGACUGCGAGCGUGACGGCGCGAGCAGGUGCGAAAGCAGGUCAUAGUGAUCCGGUGGUUCUGAAUGGAAGGGCCAUCGCUCAACGGAUAAAAGGUACUCCGGGGAUAACAGGCUGAUACCGCCCAAGAGUUCAUAUCGACGGCGGUGUUUGGCACCUCGAUGUCGGCUCAUCACAUCCUGGGGCUGAAGUAGGUCCCAAGGGUAUGGCUGUUCGCCAUUUAAAGUGGUACGCGAGCUGGGUUUAGAACGUCGUGAGACAGUUCGGUCCCUAUCUGCCGUGGGCGCUGGAGAACUGAGGGGGGCUGCUCCUAGUACGAGAGGACCGGAGUGGACGCAUCACUGGUGUUCGGGUUGUCAUGCCAAUGGCACUGCCCGGUAGCUAAAUGCGGAAGAGAUAAGUGCUGAAAGCAUCUAAGCACGAAACUUGCCCCGAGAUGAGUUCUCCCUGAGACUUAGAGUCUCCUGAAGGAACGUUGAAGACGACGACGUUGAUAGGCCGGGUGUGUAAGCGCAGCGAUGCGUUGAGCUAACCGGUACUAAUGAACCGUGAGGCUUAACCUUACAACGCCGAAG